RNAcentral lists this ribosomal RNA (253 nucleotides) under uncultured bacterium. RNAcentral describes it as "partial 16S ribosomal RNA". It matches the Rfam family "Bacterial small subunit ribosomal RNA", at positions 524 to 776 of the family's 1533-position model. The record is from RNAcentral.
UACGAAGGGGGCUAGCGUUGUUCGGAAUUACUGGGCGUAAAGCGCACGUAGGCGGGUUUGUAAGUAGGGGGUGAAAUCCCAGGGCUCAACCCUGGAACUGCCUUCUAGACUGCAAGCCUGGAGGUCAGGAGAGGCGAGUGGAAUACCGAGUGUAGAGGUGGAAUUCGUAAAUAUUCGGUGGAACACCAGUGGCGAAGGCGACUCGCUGGACUGAUACUGACGCUGAGGCACGAAAGCUGGGGGAGCAAACAGG